AUGUCCCGCAGCCAGGCAGGUUGUGCUAGACUCGUAUUUGCAAGUAACUGCGCAACGCCCAGCCAGAAUGACCGAACUGCGCAUGCUCGCCUUUAGGAUAUAAGAGCAUCGCACCGGGAUGUACUUGGCUUCUUUGUUCGCAUGACCCGCACGCUUACUGCAUCAUGUCUCGGAUGCGGACUUACCGCAAGACUCGCACUGUCUGGCGCCAGUUCACAAGAAGACUCGAGCGGCAGCUGGCCUCAUCCGAGCGUGCAGGGAGGUGCAUGCCCACCACUGCAGGCAGGAAGACGUAUGCUGGCUCCUUUCUAGACAUGGCAACCGUGCUCGUGCGGUUCAGCUGGGUUGCAGUGGCACUGCCAUUUCGCAUCCUUUUAAACGGGAUGCGCAUUGUCGCAGCCAUGCUGUCGUCUCUGAAGACCGCACUUUUCCCAUGAGUACAACCUGCAAUCCAGGCAGCCGACAUUCAUAGGUCUCGCCUGCCAGCAACCAUGAAAAUGACAAUAUGGAGCCUGUUUUAAAAUUCACCGAUCAUCCCAGUUUUAACCUCGCACUGCAUUGGCAUCAUGUCACGCAUUCCAACAGUCUUGUAGACCAUAUGAAUCAAUAAACAUCAUUUCAUGGGAAUCUAA
Long non-coding RNA from Dermacentor albipictus, 632 nucleotides. RefSeq lists it as uncharacterized. Lineage: Eukaryota; Metazoa; Arthropoda; Arachnida; Ixodida; Ixodidae. The record is from RefSeq and is a predicted model, not a curated record.